This 253-nucleotide ribosomal RNA is filed under the name uncultured bacterium. RNAcentral's name for it is "partial 16S ribosomal RNA". It matches the Rfam family "Bacterial small subunit ribosomal RNA", at positions 524 to 776 of the family's 1533-position model. The record is from RNAcentral.
UACAGAGGUGGCAAGCGUUGUUCGGAAUUACUGGGCGUAAAGGGCGCGUAGGCGGUUCGUCAAGUCCUGUGUGAAAUCCCCCGGCUCAACUGGGGAACUGCACAGGAAACUAGCGGGCUUGAGUUCGGGAGAGGGAAGCGGAAUUCCGGGUGUAGCGGUGAAAUGCGUAGAUAUCCGGAGGAACACCGGUGGCGAAGGCGGGACUCUGGGCCGAUACUGACGCUGAGGAGCGAAAGCGUGGGGAGCGAACAGG